This is a long non-coding RNA of Megalobrama amblycephala (Wuchang bream), 794 nucleotides long. RefSeq lists it as uncharacterized. The record is from RefSeq and is a predicted model, not a curated record. The transcript has 3 exons. Lineage: Eukaryota; Metazoa; Chordata; Actinopteri; Cypriniformes; Xenocyprididae.
CAGUUGUGCUGCUUAAUAUUAUUUUAUAACCUGUGAUACUUGUGCUGUUCUAUGAGAACUUUCAAUAUUUAGUCUAAGUUAAAAGUUAUAGUUAGCACCAUCUUGUGUUCAAAGUUUAGUACUGCAUGUAAUGUUGUAGAGUCCUUUUAUGAUGACAUCAUAAUCACAAGACAGAUCUCCAGCAAGCAGCAGUAAAGACCAUGUGGUUAUGGCUGCCAUCAUUCCCUGAUUUAAGCUGGUCAGAAGGCACAUUCGAGCAAAAAUGCGCCCUCUUGAGGAGCAGUACCGUCCACUGGAGGAAGCCGGUUAAAGGUGCCAUAGAAUUGAAAAUUGAAUUUACCUUGGCAUAGUUGAAUAACAAGAGUUCAGUUCAUGGAAAUGACAUACAGUGAGUCUCAAACUCCAUUGUUUCCUCCUUCUUAUAUAAAUCUCAUUUGUUUAAAAGACCUCUGAAGUACAGGUGAAUCUCAACAUAACACCGACUGUUACGUAACAGUCAGGAUCAUUAAUAUGUAUACCCCCAAUAUUUGCCUAUGCCAGUUCAUGUUCAAGGCAUUACACAAGGCAGAAUUCAUGUCUGGAGCAGCACAGCCGAAUCAACAGACUUUAUGCAGGGACAGGUUGCUCUAAGUACCUGAUAUUGGACCAGUGAUUAGGAGGGUAAGUGAUCAAGGCACACAAGGACACAGACAAUAAAUGGAAAUGAGUUGAUGUAUUUUGUUUGUGCAAAAAUAAUAAUGGAAGCAAAUGUAACACAAUCACAACAACAAUUAAAUAAAAAUUGUUCUUUUCAA